Molecule: ribosomal RNA, 449 nt
Filed under: uncultured bacterium
Lineage: Bacteria
Description: bacterial SSU rRNA
Rfam family: Bacterial small subunit ribosomal RNA
Source: RNAcentral
CGCCAGACUCCUACGGGAGGCAGCAGUGGGGAAUAUUGCACAAUGGGGGAAACCCUGAUGCAGCGACGCCGCGUGAGCGAUGAAGUAUUUCGGUAUGUAAAGCUCUAUCAGCAGGGAAGAAGAUGACGGUACCUGACUAAGAAGCCCCGGCUAACUACGUGCCAGCAGCCGCGGUAAUACGUAGGAGGCAAGCGUUAUCCGGAUUUACUGGGUGUAAAGGGAGCGUAGACGGCGAUGCAAGUCUGAAGUGAAAGGCGGGGGCCCAACCCCCGGACUGCUUUGGAAACUGUAUAGCUGGAGUGCAGGAGAGGUAAGUGGAAUUCCUAGUGUAGCGGUGAAAUGCGUAGAUAUUAGGAGGAACACCAGUGGCGAAGGCGGCUUACUGGACUGUAACUGACGUUGAGGCUCGAAAGCGUGGGGAGCAAACAGGAUUAGAUACCCUCGUAGCA